This 285-nucleotide unclassified non-coding RNA is filed under the name Hevea brasiliensis (rubber tree). The record is from RNAcentral. Lineage: Eukaryota; Viridiplantae; Streptophyta; Magnoliopsida; Malpighiales; Euphorbiaceae.
AAUUAUAUAUUCAACACAACAGGCCUGCACAUGAAGAAGAUUUAAAUGGGUAGAUAGAACUAAGCACUAAUGAAAUAUUCUCAAAAUGUCUAGAGCAUACUGCAUUAUUUGGAAUCAGACAAAAUAAAGAAAAAAGGAUGAAGAAUAUUUAGCAGCAUUCACCAACUAUGAACACUUAAAUCAAAGGAAGCAACAUCAUCUAAAUCUUUCUUCUCCUUUGAAUUUUUUUCUUAAUUAAUAACAUGUUGAUAUAUUCAAAGAAUUGAGAAACAUGGUUACUCUUUG